UGGGGAAUUUUGCACAAUGGAGGAAACUCUGAUGCAGCGACGCCGCGUGAGUGAUGAAGAUCUUCGGAUUGUAAAACUCUGUCCUUAGUGAAGAUAAUGACAGUAACUAAGAAGCAAGCCCUGGCUAAAUACGUGCCAGCAGCCGCGGUAAUACGUAUGGGGCAAGCGUUGUCCGGAAUUAUUGGGCGUAAAGGGUACGUAGGCGGUUUAAUAAGUCCUAAUUAAAAGGCUAUGGCUCAACCAUAGUAUGGUUAGGAAACUGUUGAACUUGAGUAGAUGAGGGGAAAGUGGAAUUCCAUGUGUAGCGGUGAAAUGCGUAGAUAUAUAGAGGAACACCAAUAGCGAAGGCAACGUUCUGGAAUCAAACUGACGCUGAGGUACGAAGGCGUGGGGAGCAAACAGG
This 403-nucleotide ribosomal RNA is filed under the name Fusobacteriota bacterium. Its description in RNAcentral is "Fusobacteria bacterium partial 16S ribosomal RNA". It matches the Rfam family "Bacterial small subunit ribosomal RNA", at positions 355 to 776 of the family's 1533-position model. The record is from RNAcentral. Lineage: Bacteria; Fusobacteriati; Fusobacteriota.